UCCCCUAGUAACGGCGAGUGAAGCGGGAAUAGCUCAAAUUUGGAAUCUCCCUUCGGGGCGAAUUGUAGUUUAGAGAAGCGUUUUCGGGGAUAGCGCAGGUGUAGGUCCUUUGGAACGAGGCAUCAUAGAGGGUGAGAAUCCCGUGCCGCCUGCAGUCUAUUCCUAUGUGAUACGCUUUCGACGAGUCGGGUUGUUUGGGAUUGCAGCCCAAAAUGGGUGGUAAAUACCAUCUAAAGCUAAAUACUGGCGAGAGAC
RNAcentral lists this ribosomal RNA (255 nucleotides) under Nephrochytrium sp. RNAcentral describes it as "partial large subunit ribosomal RNA". It matches the Rfam family "Eukaryotic large subunit ribosomal RNA", at positions 76 to 334 of the family's 3401-position model. The record is from RNAcentral. Lineage: Eukaryota; Fungi; Chytridiomycota; Chytridiomycetes; Cladochytriales.